GUAAACAGUGAGGUCUUAUGCUCAUGCCACUAAACUUAAGCCAGUUUUGGUUUACAAAAUACCCUUUAACUGAAGGCAGGAGCCUCCCCACCUCAUAGCAAAUCAUACUUCUACCAUCUUGUCUCAGUGUGCUUUAUGCUAAUGGCAAUCGGUUGUCAGCAUCUUUAUUCCAUCUCAUAAAAAAAAAAAAAAAAAAAAAACUUCCUAAGAGACACUGAUCAUGGCUGGAGCACUGUUUUAAAUUAAAUUUUCUCUAAAACCCAGAAGAAUAUAAAAAGCCCUUAAACACAAAAAAGUGAGGUGGGUAAUGUGUUUUGUUUUGAGUAUGUUUGUUGUUAAAUUUGCCAUGAGUGAAUUGACACACUGGUGAGAUGACCAACAGAUCCUGUGGGUGGCAUUGCUUAAUGGCCUGAAGUCGUCCUGUUCCGCAGAGACUACAGUGCAGGUGUCAGAUAGAAAACCCCCAGACUGGGGUACGUCUGACACCAGUUAUCUGGAGGCUGGUAGUCUGUACAAGUGCGGGAGUCACUUCAUUCACUUGAGAUUUCAUUUAUGAACUCUGCUUAUAAGACAGGUGCAAAACACUUGGUGAACCCAAACAGAGCCCAAACACAGACGCUUGAAUGGGUGAAAGAGUGCUUAGAAUGGGAUGAGAGCUGAUGAGACACUGCAUUAAUGUCGAAGUGAGAAUCUCCAUCUUCAUAGAGCCUUUGUCUACAAAUGAUUACAGUCAUCCUUCCAAGUCUCAGCUUCUGCUAGGAGAGGGAAGCUGGGCUUUGUAGAAGAGGGCUGACAUGAAAGUGAAUCCAGUAAACACAUGUGGAAUGGUUGGGGCUGAAACGGGGCAGAGUGAGCAGAAUGUGAUGGAGCAGAACCAAGAUAAGCUGUUCCUGCCCCAAAUUCUCAUUAGUUCUAAAGCAAAAGGAUAAAUACAACCUGACAGGCAGUGAUGUGGAAGAUUCAAGAGAUGUUUCUCUUUUCUUUUUUAUACACUCUUGUAUUAAAAAAUAAUUUAUUACUCACAAGUGCAAGGACCCGAGUUCUAUCCCCGGUACCAAAAAAAAUUUAUUUAGAGUACUAUUACAGGGUAUAUGUUUGUUUAAUGAGCCAAGAAAAUAUGUAAGCUACUUCAGAGAGUCUACCUAAAUUUUCCACAAUGAAGGUGCAUCUUCCAGGGCCCUGCCUUCAGACAGACCUUUGAAAAGACUUGAGAUGAGUCAGAAAUAAGUUAUCAGUGCUCAGGAACACUGUGCCUCCUUCUGUUUAUCUUAGAGGAGUUGGAACCCAGGCAGCACAUUCUUUUGUGUUCUUCUUGAGUCUAACCCAUAUUAACAUCUUUCCAAAUGUGUGCCAAAGAAUUCCAUAUCAUCGUCCUAGCCAAUAUGACAAGCUCAUGGGAAUUUUCUUUCAGAUACACAAGAUAUUAUAGACAGACUGACCACGUGUCCGGCUUUACAAGCGCUAUUCCGGUAUAAUUAUUGCUAAUAGUACCUUUCACUUUCAGAAAUGUUUUGGUAAGAUAAUGAAUUAUGGCAGCCUUAGCUAGAAAUAAUAAUGAAAUGUUAUAAUAAUGAACCUUAAUUGAAUGGUUGAAUUUCUUAGACUUUGAAAAGCUGCCUUGUAUAGUAAAUUCUUCACAACAACUCAAAGAGGGAAGUAUUUUUAUUGUCACCGUUUACCUCAAGGAAACUGAGAGAUGAAGCAGCAUGGCCUACCUGCAUGGUGGGCAAGCCUGUAUCUCCAUAAAGAUCUGACCGUGUCACCUGCGGCAGAAGAUGGGGUAGUGCCUACUACCUUCCCAUCUGCCAAACAAUGGAAGUGACUUCACUUCAUUUCCUGUAGUCAAAGAUACAGUUAUUCUUCUGUUAUUCUUCUUAGUUGUAACUAUUUUUAUGAGGAUUAUGUCCGUGUGUGUGUGUGUGUGUGUGUGUGUGUGUGUGUGUUACUGGGGACUGGACCCAAGAAGCAUGGGGAUGUAUUCACACCUCUUUCUAUUUUUUUAUUUUGAGACAGAGUUUUUCUAAGUUGCCUAGUCUGCCCUCAAACUUGCAAUCCUCCUGCUUCAGCCACCCCAGUACACACUCCUGGCUAAGAAUCAUGUUGUUUAAACCACAGGAAAAGAGCACUGAACUGAACGAACUACAGUGUAGUUAGGUUGUACUUCAACAUAUUAAUGUCACUGCAUAAAUGAUAAUGAUUUGCCAAGAGACUGCUUUAUGCCAGGCAGCAUUCUAGGGAUUGGCCCCAUGUUCUACUGCUGAUGCUAAAAGAACCCUGCAUGGCAGCAGGUUUGAACCCCAUGAACCCUGAACAUGUAGGGAUUGUUGUAGCUGUGGUUCCAGAUGGGCUCACAGGUUAAAAGUGAAGAUGGAGGAUGAAAUCAUUUUAGCAGGCUCUCCACCCGCAACCACCUGUGUCCAGAUGUCUCACUGAGUAACUGACUGUCAGGAUAUGAGACACCGCAAGGAUGGAAAGGAAAAUCCUCGGGGACACAGGGACUUGUCUGCCACCUAACACAACACCUAACAUAUUAACUUCGUGCAUUGAGUGCUUAGUGAGGGAAUGUACUGUAUGUACUUUUAAUCUUUUCUUUGUUUUUCUCCUUUCCAUAGCCCAAAUAAGAAGAGAGUAAGGAUUUGAACCAGUGUAAACUUAACUGCACUAUGAUAGACAUUAUCUUUCUCUGAAAUUUACUAGGCAUUUCUCCAACUUCAAAACCUUUCUGGAAGACAAUCUUAAAUAAGGAUGAAUAAAUAAUAUUUUCUCAUUAUCAAAUUUGUUAUACCACUAUAUGAAGAAUAUGAAUAUAAAAACAGAGAAGGUAGAGGGCUGGGGAUUCAGCUCAGUGAUUCCACUGCCUGCCCCACAAGCACAAGGACCUGAAUUCGAUCCCCUUACCAAAAAAACAAAAAAAAGUGUAGAAAUUCUUGCAACUACAGACUUCACUGUGCUAUAUAUACCAAAGUAAAUACAAGUCUAUGCCUGUACACAAACAGUGAUUACAGCUCACUUUGGGAUAUAAGAAUAUAAAUGCACUAUGGGUUACAUGUUAUUAUAAACUGCCAGGUCAUAGAGUGUGAUAUGGAUCAUGAUUCUUAACUGGAUGUGCAUAUCAGUAUCAAGUGUGCUAUGUUUUAAAAAUCCAGAUGCCAGGACCCUAUCUGCAUUGAAUAGAUACAUUUCUGAGGUAGAAGCCUGGAAAUCUGUAUUUUUAAAACUCUCUAAGUGAUUCUGACAUGCACUGUGGAUACUCACUAGUGGAUUAAAAUAUAUAGAAAAUAUUAAUAUAUUAAUAGUGCACAUAUUUAAAGAAGUUCUUUUGAGCUGAGACUUUCAAAAGAUGGUAUCAUAGAAGAGAUAAGAUUUGAAUGGAAGUUCAGACAUGGACAGAAGGUAAGUGGAACAUGAUUUUUUCUUUUUUAGCUUAAAAUAAAAAUACAAUCUUGGCUUUAAUGUUUUUUCUGCAUUUUUGAUUCCCAAUUGGAUUAGAACCAAUCUGUUAGAUCCAUUGUUCUGAGAAAGAUCCUCACACUUAUACCAAUACAUGCCUAAAAGCAAAUUAUUUUGUAAUAUACCUAUGAUAGAAUCAAAUGAAAAUCAGAUUUAGCAUCCCCUGUGAAGGCUAAUAUGUUAUUAUAGAUUAAUAUUUAUAUAUAUAAUCAAGAAAUUUAAUCACAGCUAGUAACUACAAUUUAGACUGCAAACUCCCAAAGGGCGGGGCUUGUAUUUUAUUCAGUUCUUGAUUGUCAGUUCCUUAACAUGGAGAUUGUUAUCUAGAAUAUGCAUAAUACAUAUUUGUUGAAUGCAUGAGGCCUUCGAAUUUACUUAGUUUAUUCAUUCUACCUUGCUUGUGAGGCAAAUUGCAUCGACCUCCAUUGGAAGGUAAUAAAAUUUAGCUGUAAAAUUUUGGGCCGUUCCUUUGUUGUCAUUUUUUUUUUUAAUCUGCAACAAGGCACUGCCAAAGACUUCAGUCAUUAGUUCAUAAGAGUAAACUUUAAGUCUUCUCUUUCUCAGAAAAAGACUGAAGAGAAGAAGGAUGGGAGAGGCAAGGGCGUUCUUCCCAGCAUGUGGGCAUCCUUCCGCAUUCCAGCCCAGGGCCACUGUACACCCCUCUUCUCAGUCCUGUACCUCCUGGGGAAGCAAGGACGGCACUAGAACUCCCCAUAGGCAGGAGCAAGACUUGGACAUCUUCCCAGGCUUUCUGAGCCCUUCCUGCCAGCCCUGCAGUAUUGGAGGAGAGGAUUAUUUUGUCACUGUUGGGGUCUGGGCAGUUAGUGGAGCCUAAGGCACAGCCCAGAGGAUCACAGAGACUCUCCAUUUCAUUCUGCAGUGUAAAUCCCCACCACAAUGAAGCCCGGCUUCACUUGGCUUUCAAUGUGGUGGUGAAGGGGGGGCCUUGUAUUUUCCCAGUGGAACUGUAUAAUACAUUUGGAAACAUAUUCAUAGGGAGAAAAUAGUAGGGAAAGUACUGAAAAGAAAACAAAAUAAAGAUGGAAAAAGAAAAUGGUGAGCUGACCACAGAAAGCUUUGAUGUUAUCAUUCACAUAGCUCCACUUCGAUGAUUAAAAACAGCUGCUUAUCUUGGAAUUAGGAAGAUAAGAUUCAGGUAAGAACUGGAAGACAGCUCUGAGCAGAAGCUGCUAGCACCUUGUGGCACCUGCGGCUCCCCGCUGGGGCCAGCAAGGGAGCUCUGGCUGUGUGUCCACCAUAGUGGCUUCUGGUUCAGCUGAUGGCCCUAGGGUAGAAGGAUUUAAAAGAAAUAAAGGCCACCCUACCAAGGGACUAUUCAGUGACCCCUUCAUCUUCUGACACAUGGAAUUGGGAGUUGGAACUAACUCAAAACUUCCAAACUGCUGAGCAGCAUCUUAGUAAACAUAUGGGCUGCAAAAUAAGUGUAGGGAACCAAGACUUGGGAAACCUGAUACCUGCUCAGGGAAGGGACUUGCUGAGCCUCUUGGGAGUGGGGCACUUUCUGAGCUGGUGCUCCAUGAUUGCUUCAUCUCAGAGAAGCCUUGUAAUCAUGGGGAAAAGCAUACUGAAAAUCAGCAUGAUUACCAAUUCUUAUGCAAGAUUUAACAAAAACAUGAAGAAAUAGUUUAACUCACAGGGGUCACAUAAUAGUUCUGUAUAUUAAGUAAAAUUAAUUCAUGUUUUUAAUAAUAUUCCUAGAGUGGACCAUGUGGCCUCCAAUACUGUGGUCAUUUUAAUCAGCAGGGUGAGCUGAGUCCACUGGUCAGGCUCAGCAGCACCCCAUGUGUCCACUUCAUCCCUGCUGGGCUUGGUGACUUUACUUUGGUAGCAGGAAGUGGACAUUUGUGACUCCAUUUUUAUGCCAUGGACAUUGGCUACUGCUAUAAUCCAGGGUCUUGUUUUCUCUUGUAGAACACCUGUGAGCCAGUUAUUAGCACACCGCUGAAUUACACACACAUUUUAUAAGAAAAAGGGACCCAAUAUAAAUAGAAGUCUCUGUAAUUAAGAAUCUUGCUCACUGGUAAAUAUUUUAAUAAGACACUGCUUAUGAGAGAUAGCAUUAAGUUAGACUGUCUAGGUGCAAAUCUUUUAUUAGUUAUCAGUUAAUAAAAUCCCUGUGCCUUAGUCUCCUCAUACUUAAAAUGAGAACAUAAUAAUGCCUAUUGCAUCGGAUUGUUUUGAUGGUGAAAUGAGCUAACAUAUGUAAUACACUGCAAAAAACGCCUCGUGUAGGAAACAUGCUUGGUGAGUUCAUUCUAUUAACAUCAACAGGCUGUUUAGACUUCUCCUAAAACACUGCCUAAUUUCAGUGUUACUUUUCCUGUUGAGAUUUUAUAUCUUUUAGAAACCUGUACCCAACUUCCACAAGUUUGUGAAGAUCCAUUAAAUGGAAGCACGUCAAAUCACUCCAAAAUGCACAAAGCACUGAGUAAGUGAAAGCUUCAAUAAUUAUGUUAAAGGCACCAUCUUGAAUUUUGUUUAUACCACAUCUCUGAAAUGAGCAUCAGAUUUUUCUCUAGGCAAUUACUGUUUGUACAGAAACAAACACAGAUGGUACCCAAAAUUACUACUACAUCGUUCAAGCUAAGGCAUUUAUCAAAAUAUUGAUGGUCACUAAAUGUCCUCUGUACAUUUAGUACAAGUACUAAAUUUAGUAUAUACAAGCCCACACCUCAGUCAGACAGCACAGCAAUUUAGGCAGAUAAGCCUUUGCUAGAUAAUCCAAGGAUUUUCUGAUGUGUAGAAUAGCUAGCACAACAAACAGAAAAUCUUACAUGUAGGCAAAGUUUUGCGAAAUAGGAUGUUAACAUGAAAUUUCUUUUAGAGAAAAAAAUUGAUUUGUCUUUUCUGAUAAACAUUCCAAACAAAGAAAAAUUUAUUUUUGUGGUUGUGCAUGCGCAUGUUCCCAGUUUCCAUUGACCUUCUGGCUAAGCAAGGCAAGAAGGAGAAAUGCGUCUUGAGUAUAGAUUAAAGAUCUUUUAAGAACCCAGUCUUUGUAGUGCACCCUUCUUUUUAUGGGCAGGGUAAUCUUCUGGUUUCUACAACUCUACUCCCUUGGAUUUCGUGCUGCUUGGGGCCUGUUUGUCCUUGGAUCCUUUUCUGCCUGUCCCAAGCUUCCUUUUCCACUCCUCUGUCUCAGUUUCAUAGCUGACUUCAAGAGAGCCUUGGGCUAACAGUGGAGGUGCGAUUUCCCCAACCAGACUGCAUCUCCUUCACCUUCUCCAGCAGCAGCCACUCCCCUCCUGCUCCUGCUCACCUGGGUUCCAGUUCCCACCUUGUCACAGGUGUGUGUGCCCCCGAGCCUUCGGCUUGCUCCUGGCACUAAUUUCUGAGUUGUCCCCCUUUUCUCUGGUUUGCUUGCUCUGGAUCUCUGAUCAACCGUCUCCCACUUUGUGGAAUUCCCUGAGUCACAGUUCUCCCCUUCAAAUACUCCAAUCUUAUUUUCCUAGCUGCAUCCUGAUUGGUGCCAGUCCGGCACAGCAUCCUGCUCACACUGAAGUCUUGGGUAGCACAGCCCGGAGGCGAUGCCCAGUGCUCCUGCUGACCCGAGGACCUCUGGGGCCAGACCCCAAGGCUUCGACCCCCUUCCCAGCUCUCCUUCUCCGGUUCAGAUUCUACUUGAGCCCACUCUGCCCAGGAGAGACCAAGUAGUUUUCUCUGCCUGCUGACACUGACACCAGAAGACAUUCAAACAGCUCACUGGAUUGCUAGCCCAGCCCAUUGGUGGCAAACCUAUGGGACAUGUGCCCAGCCUCUGCCAUCAAUUAAGUAGAUGCCAUAGCUCUGACUUGUUUCCUGUAAAGGGGUGCCGGCUUUGUUUACUUCAUUUAGCAGGCUCUCUCUGCGCACUCGGUCCACUGCCUCCCACAUCGGUCCGUGGCAUUUGUUUAUUCUACCCAAUCACACGCAGAGCUCUGUGGUCAGGGGCACUUUUCCUUUUAUAUCUGCUCACAGCAGGUUCACAGUACAGGCUUGUGAGCUAAAUACAGUCUACAUUUCACCAGCAUCUGUGCUGAUUUCCGGUUCCUUGUCAGAGGGACAUGCUGUGUGCCCUCCUGCAGCUGCAUGGUGUGCACUGGAUCAUCCACUCAGGAUGUGCUCUGAGCAGGUCCUGUAUUCUAGACCGGAGAUACUGGGGGCCACUAGGGGCAGCACAAAGACUCCAAGGCCCAUUGCCACUUAUUUUAAAAGCAAGGGUUCCCCCUAAGCUGCCUCUCCCUGGGGACUGCCACUGUCCUUCUAGUGGUUUCCUGGACUGACAAUGCUCUGUGUCACAGAACCUGCUCAUCUUCUUCAUAGCAUUGCAUAUGAACUAUGUAUGGAAUAAGCAUAAAGGACAGGGAGAAAUUUAAAUUUAUACAAAUGUGUAGUGAAUACAAAGGGCACGUGUAUAAGUAUCAUACAGAACAGGCACCCUCUUGUAUGAGUGUGUGUGGGGGGGUGUUGUUAUGCUUUCAUUUUGUCUUUCCCUCUACAGAUUUUCUUUACUUCAGCUUCUUUCACUACUGAACACCAAGCCUAACACAGAGGCUGGCUGGCACACAGUAGGUGCUCAAAUGCUUGGUGAAUAAAUAAUAGAGAGUGGCUGGAUCAAGGAGAGCAAAGAACGCUUCCCAAUCAUUAAUUUAUCAGACCUUAAGUUUUCCUGAAUAAAAAAUGUAGAAAGGAGAGAACAAGGAAUUAUGUCAGCUUCUUUGGUCUAAAACAUUUGGAGAAUAGCUGGUCACAACCUAUUGUUUAGUAACCCAGCCUUACUCAGAAAUGCCAGUGGUUGAACUCAUGAUUUUUCAAACUUACUCAUUCAAAGGCUAUUCAUAUUCCCCAUAUUAUUUUAAUUCCUUUCCCUUAUCAGAGAGGCAGUACUGAGUUUCCUAUAUGAUUUAACUAUAUAGCAUACUAACACGCAUAGCCCAUGGAGAAAGAGCCCUCCCCCCUUGCCUGUGCUUGCCCCUUACUUUUUUAUUCUUCGUGAGCAUGCACAUUAUUUCAUUUAACAACCAGUUAAGAUGCCUUUAUGUGUCAGGCACUGCACUAGAGACCUGAUAUAAAAACAAAAACAAAAAUACAAAUCAAAAAGCAGUGAGCAAGACAGCAUCUGCUUUCAUGAAGCCUAGAGUGUAACGAGGGUUCACAGCAAUAAAUGGAACAUAUAUUAUGAUGCCAGAAAGAAAUAGAAAGCUUGAGACAAAAUAGUGGGCAAGCAGUGGCGAGGAGGCUCAGGGCUGCUAGGCCAGGGCAGAAGGCCUUCCUGAGGAGCUGACAUUUCAGCAGCGUCUAAGAAUAGAGGCAGCACUCACACUGCAGGAGAGGAGCCCCGUGGUGUGUGGUGUGGGCAGGCACACAUGCUGGGCUGUCUGCCAGUGGACACUUGUGAGCCCAGGAAGGAUGGUGGGAGCAGGGCUUGGGGGACAGCGCAGGUCAAAUCGUGCGUGGUUUUCUGAGCAGAGCACCACUAAAAGGUGGGGUAUGUGCCUGGAACCCAGCCACAUUGGAGGCUUAGCAGGAGGGUGGAGAGUUCAAAACCAGGCUGGGCAAUCUAGCAAGACCCAGCCUCAAAAUGAAAUGAAAAAAAAGAACUUGUACAAGAAGCUACAAUGAUCUGAUACAAGUUUCAAAAGACCACCCUGGCUGCUGGAUGGAGCACUAAUGGGAAGAGGACCUGAGUAAAAUGAGACAACCUGGCAGACUGUCAGAGUGGUAACUCCAGGGCAGGGAUGUGUCGUUUCCACCUGGAGAGCUGGACAGGAGGAUGUGCAGGCCGGAUUGGGAGGGAAGAAAGGGCUGCGUGUGACCCUGCAGUUUCUGUCUCGGGUGCUGGAUGAUAGUUCGCUUACUAGGGGCCCCCCAGCAGCUCUGUCUCGAUGAGGUUCAUGGCAUGGUCCUGUGACACCUGGUCAGAGAUGUGAAAAAGACCCCUGAUUACAGCAAUGUGACGCUGUGACAGAAAUGAGCCCGAGCCAGCCUCUGCUAGGUCUCACCUUUGGUCUGGGGAGAAAACUCAAGUUUUUUACACACACAUUUAUUUUUAAAUAGGCUGCACAGGCAGAUUUUCACACAUUGAAGAUUCGCUUGUUCUGCACACCCUGCAAAACCUCACCUCACAUCCGCAGCAGUAGAAAAUCCUAAUUGAUUUUCAUUAUUAAAAAAUUCUCCAAUGGCAACUGAAUUAUCAAGGUCAUCAAUGAAAGUACACAUUGAACAUAACAUAGAUUUAUUGGUACUUUCCUCCAGAGAAUUCUGUUCAUCUUGGAAGACAUUGCAAUCUCCAGUGGUUGGAGCUAGGUCUUCAUCAAAAAAGUAUGAUUCUCCUGUGCUUUUGCUCUACCUGCAAAGCGUGUUCGAUUGGCUCAAACUAUAGUCAACUUUGAUCACCUGUGGUCCUCAUUUCCCUGUCAUACAUUUGUAAAAUGUUUAAAUAAACAAGUGUUUAAAAUAA
This 9907-nucleotide long non-coding RNA is filed under the name Heterocephalus glaber (naked mole-rat). RNAcentral's name for it is "lncRNA (ENSHGLG00100050820.1)". Lineage: Eukaryota; Metazoa; Chordata; Mammalia; Rodentia; Bathyergidae. The record is from RNAcentral.